UCACUGGGCUCAGUGGUAGAGUGCUUGCCUAGCACACGUGAGGCCCUGGGUUCGAUCCUCAGCACCACUUAA
RNAcentral lists this transfer RNA (72 nucleotides) under Marmota monax (woodchuck). RNAcentral's name for it is "tRNA.Ala". Lineage: Eukaryota; Metazoa; Chordata; Mammalia; Rodentia; Sciuridae. The record is from RNAcentral.